UGAGAUGGUGUCUCACCCUGUUGCCCAGGCUGGAAUACAGUGGCACGAUCCUGGCUCACUGCAAUCUCCAUCUCCCGGGUUCAAGCGAUUCUCCUGCCUCAGCCUCUCAAGUAGCUGGGAUUACAGGGCUUCAGAAGCUGAUGGCAUAGUUAUGAGAGGGGUGAAGACUGCGACUGCAUUUCCAACAGACCCUGAGGACAAUUGGGAAGAAUGCGCUGAAUAUUUUUGAGCAAUUUCUAUAUGAUAAGCAGUUUUUAGGGCAAGUAUAGGUUGCACUGAUCCUGACCUUUUGGCCUGAGGAUGGAAGUCUUCAGUAUCUGUACAACUUUACUCCCAAGAGCUGGUGUAGAAUGAGUUCCUCUGGCCAUGGGAGGAUCGCAGAGGGGCACCUGCCACCAGCAGCCCAGCCUCAGCACUUUUCUCUUCAGCGUCUUCUUCAAGGUAUUUCCAGUUGCCCGCCCUGAACUGUUUCAGAAUGAGGAGGACACCUGGAGGAAUCUACACGUGCAUAGACCAAUUUGCAAAAGAACCUGUGAGCCAACAUUAUUACCUCAGCUGGAAGAAUUAAUAAGCAACACGUUCACCCAAGAAGUAUUUACUGAGCACCUACUAUGUGCAUUAUUUUCUGGUGUUGGGGCUAGGGGGCAAACGACUCUGACAAGUCUCUGUUCUCAAGGUACUCACAUUUAUAUGGAUGAAGAUAGAUAACAAACAAGGAAAAAAUUGGACAGACAAAAAAUUUAGGUGGUGCCAAGUAUGAUGCAAACACUAAAACAGUAAUGCAAUAGAAGAUGUCAGAGGGAGAGUGGGAAGGUUACGUUAAAUAGAUGUCCAAGGAAGAUCUCUCUGAGGAGAAGCUACUAGGGCUGAGAUCUUAAUGACAACAAGGAACCCAAGGGCUGGAAGCAGAGCGUUUUGAACAUGGCCAGUGGGUGCAAAGGCCAUCACACGUGAAUGGGCCUGGCCAGGUGGAAGGACAGAGGGCAAGGCUGUUGUGGUUGCCCUGUGAGUGCGAACGGCCCAAGAUGGGAUGAAAGAGGAGGUCGGGACCACACCGUAUAGGAAUAUCAGAUCAUGGUCAGGGCUUUGGAUUUUACAGGGGUGCAGUAUAAGCCAUGGGGAGUUUUAGACAGGUACAGAAGUAAUUUACAUUUUCUUUCUUUCUUUUUUUUUUUUUUUGAAACGGAGUCUUGCUCUGUCCCCCAGGCUGGAGUGCAGCGGCGCGAUCUCGGCUCACUGCAAGCUCCGCCUCCCGGGUUCACGCCAUUCUCCUGCCUCAGCCUCCCGAGUAGCUGGGACUACAGGCGCCCGCAACCACGCCCGGCUAAUUUUUUGUAUUUUUAGUAGAGAUGGGGUUUCACCAUGUUAGUCAGGAUGGUCUCGAUUUCCUGACCUUGUGAUCCGCCCGCCCCCGCCUCCCAAAGUGCUGGGAUUACAGGCGUGAGCCACCGCGCCCGGCCGUAGUUUACAUUUUCUAAAGCGUACUCUGCCAGCCAAGUGGCAAACAGACUUGGGCCUCUUAAGAGUGGAAGCAGGAGGAAACCCGAAGAUCCUGGAGAGAGACUGGUGGCUGGUACCAGUGGAGAGGGAGCAAAAAGGAAAAUACAGGAUACAAUUUCAGGAAAAAUUUCAUACCAAUUUCCUGAGGUAAUUUCUGAACUCGAACAUUUUCAGUGUCACCACAUUGUGUUUCCUGCUGAAUCAAGUCUACAUCACUUCGGUUUUUAAAGCCUUCCACGAUCCUUCCCUGAACACUGUAGUUUUCACUGAUGGUUGGCUGUUUCAAACUCCCAUAUGAUCCAUACUGUAUCAUUAAUAAGCAAGCAAGGAAUAACACACCCUCUGCUAUUCUGUGCAGUGUUUCAGGUUUUUAGUUUUCUCUUUCAAGAUAGAAAAUCCCUUUAGAGUAGGAACUCGGCUGGCACUUUCUUUCACAUCCUGCAUAGCACUUAGCAAAGUUCUGUACACAGGGCACAUGUGGAAAUUGCUUAUUGAUUGAUUAAAAGCAUAUAUCACUGGCAUUUGUAUCUUCAGUAUUUCUCUUGUAUGAAGAAGGGUGAUUAUCUGUCAAUAUUCAUUGCAUCAUUGAACCAAUGUACAAUGCAUUAAUCAUCACUGAAGAUAACCAGAUGAGGCUUUAUUGUAAUCUCCUUCUAUUUUGCUGAGAUAAUUUCACUUGCUUUAGAGUUUAUGAGGCCAUAAGUGGCUCCCAUCUGUUGAUGAACAUAUUUCUAAGAGUCAUUUAGUCUCAAGUAUGGAAUACUUGAGGGGAAGUUAAAUUGUAACUUUUAUAUUAAGUGUCAUCUUAGUAACAGAACCAAAAUUGGAAGCAUGUGUUCAAUUUUGGUUUUUCAUUUUCAAAGCUUUAGGUCAGGCAAAGAAUUAAUUUCAUUUGUUUACAAAGUAGAUUAUGCCUAAUAAAAUCUAUUUUGUUUAUGGUCACAUUUUAAUCAAUCCACUGCUUUAGAAAAUGAGAGAAUUCUGAUUGGCUAAUCAUUCAACAUAGUAAAUUACAUUAUUCCACAUCCACAGAACACUGGCCUAAUUGCAUUAUCCAGUAAUGAUAAAAAUAUUCCUUUUAAUACAUUUUGAGCAAGGCAUAUACCAGUGAUGAAACAGGGAAGAAUCUUGUUUAUUCCAUCCUUGUUUGAUGAUCGACCACAGAAUAUAACAUAACACUUCUGUGUAUAAGAAUUUUUUCAACAUUAAGGAUAAUAAGGACAAGGUAGUUUUCACUGGAUCCUUACUGGUACUCUGAAUUUUCACUAUUUGUCCGCAUUUCUUCUCCUUCCCGGAAAUUUGUUUUCUGCGAAAAACAAGUGCUACUUUGUCAAAUAAAGCUUAAAUAAAAUUGGUUUCAAUUUAUGCAUAAUAAAAGGAAUGCCUAGUGACUUUCUAUCUCUAGUGGGAGGUAGAAAACUCUCCAGGGUGACUUUAUUCACUCCAGAGGUUCUGGUGAGCACCAAGGAACAUUACCUCUGCAAAAUGCAGACAUACGCAAAAGGAUGCAUCAAAUUUAAGAGAAGUCCGUAGAUAGAUAUCUGAGGGAUCUGCCUUAGGGGAUGUAGACCAUAUAUACAACACGAAUUCCACAGAAUUAGCCUGGUAUUCACGAUCACUGUUUCUUAAAACAUAACUCUUUUAUGUUACCAAGCAACUUUUAUCUGAGAUGAUGACUACUCGAAUACUUCUUUUGCAUAUCGCCAGAAAAUAUCAAGUUUUCAUUUGAGUCCUUAAUUCAAGUUCUUUAUCACAAGAAGAAAGAAUAGCAUGGAUAAAAUGGUUUAAAGGUAGCCAAAAAAAAAACAAAACAUUGUAUUUUAGAAUGCAUAUUCAAACAUAUUCCAAAAAAUACUGUAUUUUAGAAUGCAUAUUCAAACAUGAUGACAAGUGGGCUCUGUGGCUCAUAUUGACAAUAGCUUUAACCUAUGAAGUGAGUGUCUUUCUAUACGGAGGUGAUGAGUUACUCAAUACUGAACGGCUCUACUAAAUUGUGCUUUUGGCUAUUAGAACUUGGCUACUGCCUUUCGUUGCUAUGUGUUGAGAGAAAAAUCUCAAAUGAUGAUGCUAACCAUUUUGCUAAUAAAAUAUGCUAAGCUGAAACAUUUCAGUUACUCAGUUCAUCUUCUGGUACAGAUGCUAGCAAGCAGAGAAGGUUAUGAUUUGAAAAACUCAACAGAAAGGAGGAAAAAGAUGAGAAAAAGAUUGACUAGAAAAUUAUUCAUGGAAUAUAUUUCACCAGCCUAUUGGGUGUUAGCAUCUUAGGUGGUGUGGUUAAUGCUAAUUUACAUUAAAUGGUAAAUUAACUAUUUUUAUUUUUCAUAAAUGGUACAUUUUCAGUACGGAGUUUCAGUAUUCCAUAUUUUCUCACAUGGGUACAUACACAAUGACACUGUUAUUACUAACAAUAAAGAACUUGUAAGAGAGUUUUUAGAAGUAACAUGCUUUUCUAAGAAACACAAAGAAAACAUUUUAUAGUGAGUGAAAAUGAAGGUUUUUACUUCAAAUUCUCUUUUUAUUUCCAUGAUAUUUCUGCCUGGGCUCUGCCAAGGAAAACUGGCAGUGGGCAACGGAUUAUGCCAAUGUAUACUUUUUUCCCCUCUGAGUUUUUAAUCUCUUUUCAGGUGACAAAUAGUUUUCUCUUAGACCAGAUUCACUUUAUUUUUCACUUACUUAAUUAAAAAAGUAAUUUACCGCUCAACAGGGACCCUGGAGUAUAUGUAUGCUCAUCUUCAUGGUUAAAACACUUUGAAAAAAGACAUACCACAUCAUAAAAAUCUGUAUUCCAGGGUCUCAGAACAGACUGCUUCAGUAUUGGUGUCAGAAUUGGGGGAUUAAUUAGGGUGGUCAUAAGUGAGAUCAUUUAAUUAAUAGAACAGCUUCCAGAAGAGGUGGGAGUGUAGUAUAAUUGUGGAGAGAAAGGAAUUCAGAAUGAGAUACACCUGGAUUCACAUUUGAGGGCUGCCACUCAUCAGCGGAGUGCCAUUAAGGAAAGAUAUUUAAAGCAUCCCAGAAUAGUGGCUGUUGCUCACACUGUAGAUAGCAUUGGAUUGCCUUAUUUAAUCCUGGCAUGACCACUUAUGCAUGCAUGAUUUUAGACGAACUAAUUCGCCUCACUAAGAUGAAUCUUUUGAUUUGUUCCUACUUCGCAGGGUCACUGUUGUGAGGUUUAAGAGAGAUAAUUUAAUGUAAAAUUUAGCAUAAUGCCUACACACAAAAAGCUUGUCAAGCAUUUAAUAAUAAUACCGACCAUUAUUAUUACUAAUGUCGUGCUAAAUGUGGCAGGACCUGAAAAAUUACUAAAUCUGAUUUCAAGCCUGAGUUUCCACCUGUAUAAAGUGGAGAUUAAAAUCCUGGUCCUCACAGGGUUGUUGUAACAAAACAUGAGAUAUGGAGCACUGAGUGAUUAGCACAAUUAUUGAUGGCAAUUAUUCAGAAGCAUUGAGUGCUUGAAUGAGAGCUGUCUGUAUAUUUGAUUGUGAAUAGUUCUCACAGUGUUUAUUCCAACCACUAUUUUCUUCUUGGUGGUCAUGCUUUUAAAACAUCUGAAGGCCAUAUUCUCAGCUUUGCUUUGUCUUGUCAAUCUAGAUACCUUUCCACAGGUACCCUUCACAUUUUAACUUUCUUGGCUUCCAAUUAAAGAGGCAAAGCCCAGCACUUCGACAUUUACACUUAAGUAUUUUCUAGGUAGAAGCCAUCUGACCUUUAAAAAAGACAUCUUUUAUAAAUUCUUCUUUGUUAACCACCAUUAGUGUCACCACUUUUCGAUCCUUUCAGUCCUUCUUUCAGGAUUUUGAAAAAGACUCGUAAAUUGGAUAGCUUUUCUAAAAGUGCAACUCUCUCAAUUCUGAAGGUAAUCUUAAAAGGGAAUUAGGGACAUGUGGGAUCUUUACUAGCUCCAUUAGUGCCAAACUUGCAAAGAGAAACUAUCUUUAAGUCAAAAUUGUCUCCUUGAGUGCGUGGCCAUUUUGAUAAGAAUAGUGCAAGGUAAUGCAAUCCCACUUUAAAUUUAGAAGUUCUAAAGUUCACACUACACUGAAAAGUCAUCAGUGAGUGGCACUGCCAUGCUUACAUUAGAGGAAAGAAUCAGGUACUCAAGUCUUGAACCAGGCAAACCAUUUAAUGUUCUGCAGGCAAUAUGGAUAUGGACAUACAGGUAAAAAGAAGAUCUGGAUCUCCCUGCCCUUCAAUUCUUUCAUUUCCUGACUGUGUGACCAUUAUUCAUAAUGACCAUGUGCAGUCUUGGCUUGUUCCUUCUGUUUUUGGUUUAGAAUCCUUACCUGGGAGGGGAAGGAAGGAUACCUUGUUCCUGCCUUAUAAGAAUCAAUGACACAGCAGGUUUGAACAUUCCGGUGUAUAGGGAGUAGACUCUAAAUUUAGCAGCCCCUCUAGCUACUAGAAUAAGAAUUUAGUGAUCUGAAGAAUUUACAUUCUGCCAGCAGUUGAUCGAGUUCUUAUGAUAUGCAAGGCCCAACGUUGGACAUGGAAAUGAACCAAACACAAUCUCUUCCCUUUAGGGCAAUACUAGGUAGUUUCAAAAAUCAUGUUGGGAUAUAAAUGAUUAGAAUAUAGGGUAGAAAAUAUCUAUAGCAAAAGGGCAGAGAAAAUAAAAUGGGGUCAUGGAAGAGAGUGAGAUUAUUCUUGGCUAUGUGAUAAAGGAAAGCUUCAUGGAGAAGGUAGUAUUUGAGUUAGGUCUUAUAUGAGUAAAUUUUGUACAUGAAGAGAAGGGGAUUAGUACGUUGAUGAAAUAGUUUUAUAAAGAACCAACAGUUUUAUAUAAAGGAGUAGAAUGGGAAAUAAGUCUAGGAAGGUGGGGAGAAUCCUCUCCAAAGGAGUACAAGAUCCCAAGGCUUUGUAUUUCAUACUCCAAGGUUAGAAACGUAUUGUAUGGCUUUCCAUCAGAAUCACAUAUUGAGUUUUUGAAAUUGCAAAUGUCUGAGCAGGAUCAUUCCCAACAUUUGUGGGGCCUAGAGCAAGAGCAUGAAUGGAGGUCCACAUACUAUAUGUCGAACUAUUUCAAAGUGUUAAAGGAAGCUGCACCCAAGACCUGGUCCUUGUUCCCAUCCAAGGGACUGCUUUGGGACUAGGAGGCUUAAGAAGCCCUGCUGUCCCUCAAGGCCAUCCUGCACUAGAGGCCUGAUUCAUUGCUUGGAACUUCACGGGGGAAACAGGACGGACCCUGGACUUAGCCUGGGGACUCGUGGGCAGGGCCUGCAUCUGCCCCCAUCAAGGAUGGAAAUGACUCAGUCCAGGUCUUCUGGUUACUGAAGGAAAAGGUUCUCCUACCUCAUGUUUUACUUUUCUGAUUCCAGAUUACCAGGAGGUUCUAAGCACCAGGUGAAACUAUACUCACCCACUCCAUACCCCCUCCCCAAGCAGAGGGGAAGGUAGAAGUACAGUUACCUGGGGAACACAGUCUGCCUAUAUAUCCUCCCACUUCAGGGGCUACUGGGUGGCUAUCCAGAAACUAAAGCAUCCCUUCUUUCUUUGAUUUCACAGGGCCCACACAGCCUGACCUCUCUCAAUAAGGGGAUUUCACUCUUUUUUUGGUCUAUCCCAUUUGCCCAGAUGACCCAGUUCAGCUGCUAUGUUCCUUUCCAUGUUUUGUGUGCUCUCAAUUGGUCAUGAAACUUUAAAACAUGAGACUCAGAAAAAAAAACCUGUCUUUGCAUGACUGUGUUUGUGAUGCUUGGAGACUCCUAAAGCCUGUGACCUUUCUUGGUCUCGUCUGAGGGUUGUGCUGUGUCUUAACCCAAGUCUAGAGCUACUGACCCAGAAUGUCUUGGGGUUAGGAUUGGAGAUGGGGUCUCAGGAUCUGUGUUAACAAGUUUCAGGGGUGACUAUAAUGCCCAGUCAGGGUUAAAAUCACUGUUAACAAUAGGGGAGGUUUUUCUACUUAGUUUUUAUUUCUCAGCAAGAUGAUAUUUUAAAAAGCAAACUGCAGGAGAAUGGAAGAUGAAUAGAAAGGUGGUGAGGCUAACAGGAGAGCCUCAGGAAAUCACCGAGCAAAUGAGACAAGGGCCUGGAUGAAGCAGGGGUUAUGGGUGGAGGUGAGAAGCUGGUUGGGAGAGGUCAACAGGAGAUCCCAUCAGAAGUGCCCAGUGCUCAGAGGGAGUGAUGGAGUCGAGGAUGACUCUGAGGUUUCCGGCUUGUUAUGGGUCAUAUUAUGUCCCCCAAACAGAUAUGUUGAAGUCCUAACUCCUAGUACCUAAGAAUACAACCUUGUUUGAUAAUAGGGUCUUUGCAACUGCAAUUAAGUUAAGAGAAGGUCAUUGAGGGAAAGCCCUAAGCCAAGAUGGCUGGGAUCCUUAUAAGAAGGGGAGGGACACAAAGGGAGGGCAGCCAUGUGUCCACAGGGGCAGAGAGUGGAGUGAUGUGGCUGUAAGCCAAGGAAUGUCAAGGAUUGCUGGCAAGCACUAGAAGCUAAAAAGAGCAAGGAAGGAUCCUUCCCUACAGGUUUCAGAGAGACUAUGGCCCUGCUGACCCCGUAUUUUGUAUGUGAGACAAUACAUUUCUGUUGUUUUAAGGCACCUGUUCAUGGUACUUUGUUUUGGCAGCCCUAGGGACCGAAUACAGAGCUGUAAUGGCCUGCACUGGUGUUGCCUCUCUCUGCACUGGGUCAUCAGUGAGGGCAAGCGUUUCUCGUAGACAGCACCUGUCUAUGAAUGUUCUCCACAGCAUAGACAUCCUCUGCACCAGAAACAGAGCCUCAUAUUCGGUGUUCCUCUUUGUUAUCUAGCUGCACAAACACAAGGUAUUAAUUCACUAAGGGUUUCAAUUAUCUGCUAUAUAAAAAGGCAUAAACAUAAAAGGUUUUAAUUGUCUUUUAUAUAAUAAGGCAGUUUCCAAAAAUUAAAUUAGGAUUUUUACAUUUAGUUUUCCCAUUCUCAUGCUGACCAUAUUUUAAUUUGAUUUCGAAAGCAUUUUUGGUAAUAUUUUAAAGUAUUAUCUUUCAUCUAGUAUCAUAAAAAUUAUUUAGAAAACCUAUAGAAGAUUUCAUCUCUACAAGUAACAUUUUUCAGAUAGGAAAUGAUUGCAGCAUUGAACUGCCAAAGAGACAGCUGAAAAAAAAAAUGGGUCAUGCAUUCAUCCCAUUCUAGAACAGAGGCUGCCAAGCAGUUCACUGCUCAUUUUUGUCCUGUUCUCGUAAACAAGCUGCGUUAACAAGUUACUUUUAAAAAGCAUACUAAUUUCCCCAGUGAAUUGCACAGGAAAGAAUCCAGCGUUCCCUCCAGAGGACUCAAAUAGUUGUUUGUUCUCAGAGCUCAGGUGUGGUAAAAUAGCCGUGGGCUAAAAGCACAGGCUGGAUAUUGGCCAGCAGGCUAGAGCUUCCCCUCCACUCCUGAUUUCUCACGUUGGUGAGAAACUCAUAGCCUGCCUGAUGUGGGGGGGAGAAAAGACUCGAUUUUCAAUUUCAAUUUAAUUACACAAUCCAUAGUGCCUAAUGGGAAGGAUUUAGCGGCAAGAUUAAUGCUCAGCAGCGCUCCAUUUUGCCUUUUUUUUUUGAUAAAAAAUACUGUAUGGAUUAUCUAAAGUGGGUUUUCAAAAAUGUUUUUCAAGAGCCAAAUUAUUUUGGUGGCAUAGUGAUUUGAAAAAGAAGGUGACUUUAUUUCUUGACUCUCUGCCAGAGUUUAUAUAAAUUAGAGGUAUAAGAUACCUUUUUGAAUUGUAUUGCCAGUGUAUCAUUCUUGAGAGUGGGGAGCACUUCUUUACUUGGGAGAAGAAUGAAUAGAAAUUUCACUGUAGGAUUAGAAAUAUAAGCAAUGAUUGAAGGAGACGACGAUCUGUUCUGAGAAUGACUGUAAAAUUAAAAUAUUAAGACCUUUCCCUCUUCAGUUAAAUCCUAAAGAAUUUCACUCUCUUAUUGAGACUGAAAACCAUUAUAAUUUUAUAUGGCAUCAGAUCAAUAUUUAAGAUUAUGAGUAAAUAUUUGGCAUUCUAUUUUGGUGUCUACAUAUUUUGUUAGUUUUGCUAAACGUAAAAAGAAGCUAAAAUAGGAAAUGGAAAUCUACCC
Molecule: long non-coding RNA, 9514 nt
Filed under: Homo sapiens (human)
Lineage: Eukaryota; Metazoa; Chordata; Mammalia; Primates; Hominidae
Description: HSALNT0249232
Source: RNAcentral